Molecule: long non-coding RNA, 3190 nt
Organism: Grus americana (Whooping crane)
Lineage: Eukaryota; Metazoa; Chordata; Aves; Gruiformes; Gruidae
Exons: 5
Source: RefSeq, a predicted model, not a curated record
AGGCACGUUGGCAGGGAACGGCUGGAUUUGGCAACCUCGCUGUACCUCCUCACCACGGCUCAGUGGAUUUGGGGAUUUGGGUAGCGCUGGUUUAUCUCAUUAACCACCCGCUUUGAUUAACAGCCUGUUCCUUCCCUUCGCCACACGGUGGUACCAGGAAACGCAGAAUCGGUGCUUGGAAGGCGAUAAAUGGCAGGCAGCGUCCAAAUGCAGCGCAAGCUGUCGGGGAACAAACUUGGGGGACUGGAGCCCGGUUCAUCGCAAUCUAACGUGUGUUAUUUGCUUCUAGAAAGCGGGAGAAGCGCUCCUCCAGCAACCUCCAUCGCCCGGCUCUUCCGCCACCUCCGGAGGAUCAAUAAUCGCCCGAGCAGUUGUGUAAAGCUGGAAAGGAAGUGGCUGCUUCCCAGAGUUGGCGAGAUUGCAUGCGGAGCACUUGACACCCUCGUGAUACUUCCUUGCAGAGGAUGCAAAACGGAAAAAUGAGCUCCUGAGGUGGUCGGGCUGGCUGGCCCACGGCUGCCUGAGCGAGCAGACUGAAGUGUACCGGCCCCAGGCGUUGGGUUCCUGCCCGGUAUGAAGAAACGGUGUCUGAGCAGGUAGCUCAUUACACAACCAGACACAGGUGAAGACAGAACUGUGGCUUCUCUGCACUUGUGUGCAGCUAACCCAGCAGCAGUUCCGUGCACAGCUGCCUUAUGUAAGUCUCCGUGCAAUACCGGGCUUUCCUCGCAAGAGGGAUUCUUCCAGCGUCGCCACCUCACCCACGCUCAGGUUCUGCAGAUUUUUUUGCAUUUCAGACACAGUUCCCCUCUUACACUGGGAGGCAAAUAACUCCAUUUUCCCCGUGACUGGUGCUAAGAACUGUGCUAAGGACCGUAAGAGGUAACUAAGUGAUGCUCUGGGUAGGCUGGUUUACCCUGUUCUUGAGCCGGACUGGUUUGCUUUCUGACACAACCCUUUCACUUCACUGAACGAUUCAUUUCUAAGGCCAUAGUGAUGCUAUUUAAAGCCAUCCAUUUCUGUCUGUAGAGUGAUGAUAUUUCAACCCAUCCAUUUCCGCCUGUAUCCUCUUCCAAAACACUUCUGUCAGCAGGCGAGCUUGUGCCAGAAGUGAGCUGGUGAUCCAUUUGUCCGUUGGUAAUCAACUCCCUUAUUAAUUUCCAAGGACUUGGCAAACAGCUGCCAAAAAACUGUUUUCCAUCUCUGUUGAUCAAUAUUACCUUUCAACAAGUAUAUGGUGUUAUGAGUGUUAACAGCUAAUAGCACUGUGUUUCUUGUACUAUUUUAAGGACUGUAGCAUACCCCAGAGUCCUUAUAUUCGAGAGAAGACUUUUGAGUUAAAUAACAUUACAUCAGAUGUUAUUUAUUAUCCAUUUCCAACACACUGACCCUAUUUCCACUGUAUCUUAUGCUGGCCUGCUGCCACUGGAUAUUUAUCUCCAACAUUAUGUUAGUGGAUUCUUAUGGUUGAGGGGGAAAAUGAUUCUGCGCAGACUUUAAAUAGACAAAUAAAUAAGACAGCAGGUCUGGCCAGGACUUUCUGAAACCAGGUUGUGAGCAAAUACCUGAUUUCUCAGAGGAAAAGGGUGGAAGGAGUCAUUACCUACCGUGCAAGUCUCAUUUUUGCUGUCACUGAAGUCAGUGGCAAAAUUCAAACCACUUUCCAGAGUUGGAACCUUUUAAAAUGCUCACUGCCUCUGGCAAAACCUUUAUUGAUAUAAAGCAGCGUGCACCGAAGCUUUUAUCUGUCUAUUGAGUGCCCGUCGCCGAAGUUCUUACGUUGUGGAUUGCUUUUCCUCAGCGGCUGGAGACACACGUGCGAGCAGAGACGGGAGGUCCCACCAACGGUGAGGACAUGUCCCUUGAGUGCUCUGGGUGCUGGAGGUUUCUCUGUGCAUUGAGCAGUCUUUGCUUAUUUUAUAUUUUUUAUGUGCUUAUUUUAUGAAUUCUUAAAUGUGAAUGUUGGGACACGUUUCUUUAGAAAAGAAGUUUAGUCCCCAGUGGUACGAACCUUGCCGUCUGAGCAACGCUGCCCUCCCCUCUUACAGUGACAGAGGAAAGGCACAGCCGCAGCGUAACAAAGAAAUGGGUUUGAUCACGCCAGUGCCCACAAAGUUCAGCGGAAGAAAGAUAAAAGAAACCAUUGAGCACCAUGGACGUGUAUCUGUACCUGACCACGCAAGCCGCCCGACUUCUAUCUGUGCUGUGGUGCUGCCUCAAUCAGCAUCUGAACUAGAGGAAACAAGUGUUAUUAGAAGAGAAGUUGGAGACCUGCUUCUCUCUCCCUGCAUGAUGAAGAUACCUCUUCCCCACACUUCUCUAGAAAAUUGUGCUUGUAUUAUGUCUUCCUAUGUAAAACAAUUGGUCACGAGGCCAAAAUACUCCCAGUAAGGAUUAUUUCUCAUAUUCUGGAAGUUUAUUUCUCUGGUUAUUUUUGUGAUGUGGCUUUUCAAGCCCGGAUGUGUGCAACAGCCUCUGUUUUGUCAGACUGAGAAAUAAAAUACUGCCAGUAUAUCAGUCUUCAACAAAUCAGAAAUAAAGUUUGCUUCUUCCCCUAAGAAAAAUCAGUUACUGGGGUCUUUAGGCUUUUCCUCCGGAUUUCUGAAAUUCACUUCCAAUUCUGAAAUUUUUUUGUUGGUUUGUGGUUUGGUUUUUUUUAACCUUGAAUGACAGCGUCCCUAACUGUGCAAUGGGGUAAUUAGGAACGGGUAUUUGUGUGUGCCCUCUAUUAAGCAGGACGAGACUUGUUCAGUUGCAUGACGUAGGCUUGAGACCACGAACACUGGAAUGACAUUUUCCUCUCGCCGGAGCUGGGUUUCUGCUGAAAUGAGGUUUUGUUUUCCCCUUCCCUGUCUGGAGAAACUGGGACCUCUGCACCUCAGUUUGCUCUGCAAGUAGCACAAAACUAAGGACAUCUAUUUGUAUCCACUUAAAAGCCCCAUCACUUGUUUACAAGUUCUUAAACCUAAAAAACCCAUAAAAACUGACUGUACUUAGCCCUGUUGUUUACUCAGCUUUCUCCCUGGCUAGGGGACAGUGAAAACAGGCCCGGCAGUUUCACUUCUGUUUACAGUUUCUAAUAGUUUUCUCUUUCAUGUUAUCACUCCCUGGCAUAGCACUACGCUGAAACAAACUACAAACAUAGCUGUAUGCUAAUUAAAAACCAAAAUGUGCCAGAUAACUCGCUCUA